RNAcentral lists this ribosomal RNA (253 nucleotides) under uncultured bacterium. RNAcentral's name for it is "partial 16S ribosomal RNA". It matches the Rfam family "Bacterial small subunit ribosomal RNA", at positions 524 to 776 of the family's 1533-position model. The record is from RNAcentral.
UACGAAGGGGGCUAGCGUUGCUCGGAAUUACUGGGCGUAAAGGGCGCGUAGGCGGAUAUUUAAGUCGGGGGUGAAAGCCUGUGGCUCAACCACAGAAUGGCCUUCGAUACUGGGACGCUUGAGUAUGGUAGAGGUUGGUGGAACUGCGAGUGUAGAGGUGAAAUUCGUAGAUAUUCGCAAGAACACCGGUGGCGAAGGCGGCCAACUGGACCAUUACUGACGCUGAGGCGCGAAAGCGUGGGGAGCAAACAGG